GGCUCAGGAUGAACGCUAGCGGCAGGCUUAACACAUGCAAGUCGAGGGGCAGCAUGAUUGAACUUUCGGGUUCGGUUGAUGGCGACCGGCGCAAGGGUGCGUAACGCGUGAGCAACUUGCCCGUUUCAGGGGGAUAACCGGUGGAAACGCCGACUAAUACCCCAUGGCAUCAUAUUGAGGCAUCUUUAUAUGAUUAAAGAAUUUCGGAAACGGAUAGGCUCGCGUGACAUUAGCUAGAUGGCGGGGUAACGGCCCACCAUGGCGACGAUGUCUAGGGGUUCUGAGAGGAAGGUCCCCCACACUGGAACUGAGACACGGUCCAGACUCCUACGGGAGGCAGCAGUGAGGAAUAUUGGUCAAUGGCCGGGAGGCUGAACCAGCCAUGCCGCGUGAAGGUCACGGCCCUAUGGGUCUUAAACUUCUUUUGUAAGGGAGCAAUAAGGUUCACGUGUGGACUGAUGAGAGUACCUUACGAAUAAGCAUCGGCUAACUCCGUG
RNAcentral lists this ribosomal RNA (497 nucleotides) under uncultured bacterium. Its description in RNAcentral is "bacterial SSU rRNA". It matches the Rfam family "Bacterial small subunit ribosomal RNA", at positions 21 to 507 of the family's 1533-position model. The record is from RNAcentral.